Long non-coding RNA from Malaya genurostris, 2616 nucleotides. RefSeq lists it as uncharacterized. Lineage: Eukaryota; Metazoa; Arthropoda; Insecta; Diptera; Culicidae. The transcript is spliced from 4 exons. The record is from RefSeq and is a predicted model, not a curated record.
UAUAAAUAACAGUCAUAAAAAUAAUAUUUUGUUUCGGAAUAGACCAAUCAGUCAAUAUGAGAUCUUCUAGAAUGGUUUAUAUAUUUCAUGGAAACGAUACUAGUUCCCGGAGAAUGCGGAAGAGACGUGGAAAAAACCAAGAAAAUUUUAAGUCCGUUCCCAAUAGCAUAGCAGUAACGAGUUGUCCUAAAUCAGAACAAAUUGUAUCGCAUGUUUCCUGUACCGAAACUAUCUCGAAUUUAUGGGAUAAAAAUGGAGAGUUUACCAAUGAUAAUCCGGCAAAAAUGUGCGAUAGUCAGUCUGAGUUUUCGGUAAUCUCAAUCUCCAGUGGCGAUUUUUCUUGUGAAGAUACUGUUUCAAAUCAGUUUGAUAACGAAAGUCCAACAAAAAGCUAUGAUAAUCACUUAGAACACACAGAUAUGUCAGACAGCGAUUUCGAAGAUGUAUAUGACGAAGGUAGUUCAAAUAUUAACUCAAAAAGUAUUGAAACAGAGUUUUUUUCGAUGGAGACUACUAUUCAUCCGAGCUUGAGCAUAACUAAACACGAAAUAAUGUUCAUUCUGAUGAAUAUAUUUAUGCGGCAUAAUUUAACUAAUGUGGUCCUGCAAGACUUGUGUCAAAUGAUCAACUUAAUAGUUGAAAAAAAGGUUAUUCCAGAGACAUAUAAAUAAAUUUACUGAUUUCUUUGCCAAAAACAAUUUCGCUCGGCAUUACAUGUGUCAACGGUGUAAUUAUUAUAUUGGUGAAAAAAACAUCAUGUUUGAAUUGUAAGAGUAACAGUUCGUCAUUUUUUAUUAUUUUUGAUUUCGUUGAAAAUAUUCGUGAUAAUAAUUGGGAAAGUAUUGUAGAAUACCGAAGUAAGACUAAACAGUUCCAAUUUGUAUCAGACAUCAUAAAUGCUGGCAUAAUUAAGAAAAGACGACUACAAAAUGCCAUAACUUUGAGUUUCAACACAGAUGGAGUAAAAAUUUUCAAUUCUUCAAUGAGAAAAUCUCUGUGGCCUAUAAUUAUUUGCAUCAAUGAACUACCUCCUAAGUUAAGAUAUUUAAGAAAAAAUAUUAUUGUCGCAGGACUAUGGCUUUCAAUUGGAGAGCCAGAUUUGGAUGUAUUUUUAAAGCCUAUCAGCAACACAUUCAAAACAUUAUACAAUGAUGGAUUAUUUUUUGGUUCAUCAUUUAUGGAUACAGUCCAAGUGGUUGCUUGUUGUGUAGAUACUAAAGCAAGAUGUAAAAUACAAAAUUUCAAGCAAUAUAAUGGAUAUGAAGCGUGCAGUUUUUGUUUACAUCCUGGUGACGUAAGUGGCAAACAAAUUCGAUAUAGUUACAAAAAAGAUUUACCACGGAGAAAUUUUCAAGACACAUUAAAAGCGAUGGCUAUCAGCAGCUACCGUAAAACCCGAAUCAAUGGCGUUAAGGGAAUUUCACCAUUAAUCAGAAUACCGGAGUUCGAUAUUGUUAAAAACUGUCCACUGGAUUAUAUGCACGCAAUCUUGCUCGGAGUUUGCAAACAAAUGUGUCGAAUAUGGUUCGAAACACCCAGUAGUCCAGCUUAUAUUAAAGAUAAAAUAAUUCUGAUUGAUAAAAUCUUAAUUUCGAUCAGUCCAUUUGCUGAAUCUUCGCGUAACACUAGAAAAAUAAGCGAGCGAUGCAGUUGGAAAGCCAAUGAAUGGUUACAUUGGUUGCUACACUAUAGUUGUGUAAGUCUGCAAAAAUUUUUACCUAGUAAAUACUUGAAGCACCACAUUUUGUUAGUAACAUAAGUUACUGAACUAUUACAGAAUGAAAUCCAGGAUAAUACAUUUAAAACAUGUUCGGAAAACCUAGAUAAAUUUGUAAGACAGUUUCAACAGUUAUAUGGACUAGAUGAAAUGACAUACAACGUACAUCUUGUUAUGCAUUUGACAGAGUGUGCUAGAGACUAUGGUCCACUCUGGGCGUUCUCAUUAUUUGUAUUUGAGGACAUUAAUGGAGUUUUGAAAAGAUAUGUCAAAGGUCCAAAUGAACCCAUUGUUCAGAUUGCGAAUCGAUGCAUAAUGUCACAUAUUAGAUAUAAUUCGGAUACUAAAAAUUUCCAGCCGCAUGUUUCAGAUUUUUGGAAUAAACUUAACUGUGUACAACCAAACAAAACAAUAAUAAAUGAAGGAUUCCACUUUUUGGAUCCAAUGAUUAUCAAUAAGUAUAACAGUAUUACGAAAUUCAGAACAUGUUCUAAGUUUAAAUUCAAAAAUUAUUUGUUCAAACACUUCCUCUGGAAUCAUUCAUCAAACAGGAAUAAUUUUCAUAAUGAUUGUUAUUUUUCGUUGAAGGAUGGAGCCAAUAAUAUAUAUGGAGAGAUUCAGCAUAUAGUGACAGAUGAUAUAAAUUUCUUUUUUGUAUUUAAACAAUUUGAGACGAAAAUGAUAAUGAAAGACAUAUAUGAAGCAAAGCUGAUGGAAAACGAAAUGUUUUUAAUUAAAGUUGACGAUUCGAUUACCAAAUUUAUUAAAAUUAAAUCUGAAGAAAGUUUGUAUCUAGUUAAACUACAAUAUACUCUUCACGUUGAUUAGAUUAAAAAAUUGAUUAACUUGUUUAAAAACUGUGAAAUUAUGCAAAUAUCGGUUUAUUAUAACGAAUUUUU